GAGGAAAAGAAUCAAACCGCGGAUGCGAGGAGUGUUCCGAAAGAAGCGGCGAGCCGAAAAUGGGACUAGCCCUUAAGCUUUACACGCGUUAGACGAACGGUCGGAAAAGUCCGACGACUACAGGGUGAUAUCCCCUAGUUGACGACGUGAGUCAGUGAAAUGCGAGCAGGCGACUGCGACACGUGAUAUCACUGUCUCGAAAAUAUGGGGGAGCCCAUCCUCCAAGGCUAAAUACUACUGACUGACCGAUAGUGAACCAGUACCGUGAGGGAAAGGCGAAAAGAACCCCUGUGAGGAGGAGUGAAAUAGAACCUGAAACCGUGUAAACGUACAAGCAGUAAGGAGCAGCGUUGUGUCCUGUGACUGCGUACCUUUUGUAUAAUGGUCAGCGACUUAUAUUCAGUGGCAAGGUUAACCAUCUAGGGGAGCCGUAGGAAACCGAGUCUUAACUGGGCGUUCAGUCUCUGGAUAUAUGACCGCGAACCAGGUGAUCAGCCAUGGGCAGGUUGAAGGUUGAGUAACAUCAACUGGAGGACCGAACCGACUAAUGUUGAAAAUUAGCGGAUGACUUGUGGCUAGGGGUGAAAGGCCAAUCAAACCUGGAGAUAGCUGGUUCUCCCCGAAAGCUAUUUAGGUAGCGCCUCGGACGAAUACUACUGGGGUAGACACUGUUAAGGCUAGGGGGUCAUCCCGACUUACCAACCCUUUGCAAACUCCGAAUACCAGUAAGUACUAUCCGGAGACACACGGCGGGUGCUAACGUCCGUCGUGGAGAGGGGAAACAACCCAGACCGCCAGCUAAGGUCCCAAAUUACUACUAAGUGGGAAACGAUGUGGGAAGGCUCAGACAGCCAGGAUGUUGGCUUAGAAGCAGCCAUCAUUUAAAGAAAGCGUAAUAGCUCACUGGUCGAGUCGGCCUGCGCGGAAGAUGUAACGGGGCUAAGUAGUAAACCGAAGCUGCGGCAAUGUGCUUUUGCACAUUGGGUAGGGGAGCGUUCUGUAAGCGGUUGAAGGUGUGUGGUAACGCAUGCUGGACGUAUCAGAAGUGCGAAUGCUGACAUGAGUAACGAUAAAGGGGGUGAAAAACCUCCUCGCCGGAAGACCAAGGGUUCCUGUCCAACGUUAAUCGGGGCAGGGUAAGUCGACCCCUAAGGCGAGGCCGAAAGGCGUAGUCGAUGGGAAACGGGUUAAUAUUCCCGUACUUCUUACAAUUGCGAUGGGGGACGGAGAAGGCUAGGUGGGCCUGGCGACGGUUGUCCAGGUUCAAGUGCGUAGGCUUAAGAGUUAGGUAAAUCCGGCUCUUUUUAAGGCUGAGACACGACGUCGAGCAUCUACGGAUGUGAAGUCAUUGAUGCCAUGCUUCCAGGAAAAGCCUCUAAGCUUCAGAUUGUAAGGAAUCGUACCCCAAACCGACACAGGUGGUCGGGUAGAGAAUACCAAGGCGCUUGAGAGAACUCGGGUGAAGGAACUAGGCAAAAUGGUACCGUAACUUCGGGAGAAGGUACGCUCUCGACGGUGAAGUCCCUCGCGGAUGGAGCUAUUGAGAGUCGCAGAUACCAGGUGGCUGCAACUGUUUAUUAAAAACACAGCACUGUGCAAAAUCGUAAGAUGACGUAUACGGUGUGACGCCUGCCCGGUGCCGGAAGGUUAAUUGAUGGGGUUAGACUUCGGUCGAAGCUCUUGAUCGAAGCCCCGGUAAACGGCGGCCGUAACUAUAACGGUCCUAAGGUAGCGAAAUUCCUUGUCGGGUAAGUUCCGACCUGCACGAAUGGCGUAAUGAUGGCCACGCUGUCUCCACCCGAGACUCAGUGAAAUUGAAAUCGCUGUGAAGAUGCAGUGUACCCGCGGCUAGACGGAAAGACCCCGUGAACCUUUACUACAGCUUGGCACUGAACAUUGACCCUACAUGUGUAGGAUAGGUGGGAGGCUUUGAAGCACGUACGCCAGUAUGUGUGGAGCCGUCCUUGAAAUACCACCCUUGUAGUGUUGAUGUUCUAACGUCGACCCCUUAUCGGGGUUGCGGACAGUGCCUGGUGGGUAGUUUGACUGGGGCGGUCUCCUCCCAAAGAGUAACGGAGGAGCACGAAGGUGGGCUAAUCACGGUUGGACAUCGUGAGGUUAGUGCAAUGGCAUAAGCCCGCUUGACUGCGAGAAUGACAAUUCGAGCAGGUGCGAAAGCAGGUCAUAGUGAUCCGGUGGUUCUGAAUGGAAGGGCCAUCGCUCAACGGAUAAAAGGUACUCCGGGGAUAACAGGCUGAUACCGCCCAAGAGUUCAUAUCGACGGCGGUGUUUGGCACCUCGAUGUCGGCUCAUCACAUCCUGGGGCUGAAGUCGGUCCCAAGGGUAUGGCUGUUCGCCAUUUAAAGUGGUACGCGAGCUGGGUUUAGAACGUCGUGAGACAGUUCGGUCCCUAUCUGCCGUGGGCGUUGGAAGAUUGAAGGGGGCUGCUCCUAGUACGAGAGGACCGGAGUGGACGAACCUCUGGUGUUCGGGUUGUGUCGCCAGACGCAUUGCCCGGUAGCUAAGUUCGGAAUCGAUAACCGCUGAAAGCAUCUAAGCGGGAAGCGAGCCCUGAGAUGAGUCUUCCCUGAUACUUUAAGUAUCCUAAAGGGUUGUCGGAGACUACGACGUUGAUAGGUCAGGUGUGUAAGUGCUGUGAGGCAUUGAGCUAACUGAUACUAAUUGCCCGUGAGGCUUAACCAU
Molecule: ribosomal RNA, 2703 nt
Filed under: Vibrio parahaemolyticus NIHCB0603
Lineage: Bacteria; Pseudomonadati; Pseudomonadota; Gammaproteobacteria; Vibrionales; Vibrionaceae
Description: bacterial LSU rRNA
Rfam family: Bacterial large subunit ribosomal RNA
Source: RNAcentral